Lutra lutra (Eurasian river otter) is the source of this 435-nucleotide long non-coding RNA. RefSeq lists it as uncharacterized. The record is from RefSeq and is a predicted model, not a curated record. NCBI's taxonomy places the organism in Eukaryota, Metazoa, Chordata, Mammalia, Carnivora, Mustelidae. The transcript is spliced from 3 exons.
CAUUGGACAAGAGAAGGAAUGAGAAACAAAGCUCACUUUCAUUUUUAAAGUGGAAUUAUUCACCAUCUGUGAACCAUCUCGCACAGGAAGUCUUUGACAAAUUCAAAUUUCUAAGAACCAUGAUUCUCAACAUUGGCUGCAUGAAGUGCCACCUAUGGACCUCUGUAAAGAAUAAAGAUGUCCAAGACCCACUGAAUGGGAAAGUUGCUAAGGGAAUGCAGGUUUGAAGGGCAAAGAGAAGGCUAUUUAGAGAAACUGGAGGAAUUCAGAAAACAAGAAUUUGAAGACAAGAAGACACUGAGUAAGAAAGAAGAGAAAAGACUCUUGGACAACUGUCUGGGUAUGUGUGCCAGGAAAGAAAGACAAGUGCAGAAAGAUUGCUGUUACUGAGAUAGAGUCCUGAGGCAUUACCAAGUCAGGUUUCAGAUAAUUGUG